UACGUAGGGGGCAAGCGUUAUCCGGAUUUACUGGGUGUAAAGGGAGCGUAGACGGCGAUGCAAGCCAGAUGUGAAAGCCCGGGGCUCAACCCCGGGACUGCAUUUGGAACUGUGUGGCUGGAGUGUCGGAGAGGCAAGUGGAAUUCCUAGUGUAGCGGUGAAAUGCGUAGAUAUUAGGAGGAGCACCAGUGGCGAAGGCGGCUUGCUGGACGAUGACUGACGUUGAGGCUCGAAAGCGUGGGGAGCAAACAGG
Molecule: ribosomal RNA, 253 nt
Filed under: uncultured bacterium
Lineage: Bacteria
Description: partial 16S ribosomal RNA
Rfam family: Bacterial small subunit ribosomal RNA
Source: RNAcentral